This 443-nucleotide ribosomal RNA is filed under the name uncultured bacterium. RNAcentral's name for it is "partial 16S ribosomal RNA". It matches the Rfam family "Bacterial small subunit ribosomal RNA", at positions 338 to 795 of the family's 1533-position model. The record is from RNAcentral.
CCUACGGAGAGCAGCAGUGGGGAAUAUUGGGCAAUGGGCGCAAGCCUGACCCAGCAACGCCGCGUGAAGGAAGAAGGCUUUCGGGUUGUAAACUUCUUUUAUCAGGGACGAAGCAAGUGACGGUACCUGAUGAAUAAGCCACCGCUAACUACGUGCCAGCAGCCGCGGUAAGACGUAGGUCGCAAGCGUUCUCCGGAUUUACUGGGUGUAAAGGGCGCGUAGGUGGGAGUGCAAGUCAGAUGUGAAAACUAUGGGCUCAACCCAUAGCUUGCAUUUGAAACUGUACUUCGUGAGUGCUGGAGAGGCAAUCGGAAUUCCGGGUGUAGCGGUGAAAUGCGUAGAUAUACCGAGGAACACCAGUGGCGAAGGCGGAUUGCUAGACAGUAACUGACGCUGAGGCGCGAAAGCGUGGGGAGCAAACAGGAUUAGAUACCCGUGUAGUC